CAGCCGCCGCGGUAAUACGUAGGUCCCGAGCGUUGUCCGGAUUUAUUGGGCGUAAAGCGAGCGCAGGCGGUUAGAUAAGUCUGAAGUUAAAGGCUGUGGCUUAACCAUAGUACGCUUUGGAAACUGUUUAACUUGAGUGCAAGAGGGGAGAGUGGAAUUCCAUGUGUAGCGGUGAAAUACGUAGAUAUAUGGAGGAACACCGGUGGCGAAAGCGGCUCUCUGGCUUGUAACUGACGCUGAGGCUCGAAAGCGUGGGGAGCAAACAGGAUUAGAUACCCGCGUAGUCCCUGUCUCUUAUACC
This 301-nucleotide ribosomal RNA is filed under the name uncultured bacterium. RNAcentral's name for it is "partial 16S ribosomal RNA". It matches the Rfam family "Bacterial small subunit ribosomal RNA", at positions 509 to 808 of the family's 1533-position model. The record is from RNAcentral.